AGUGAACGCUGGCGGUAGGCCUAACACAUGCAAGUCGAACGGCAGCACAGUAAGAGCUUGCUCUUGCGGGUGGCGAGUGGCGGACGGGUGAGGAAUACAUCGGAAUCUACUUUUUCGUGGGGGAUAACGUAGGGAAACUUACGCUAAUACCGCAUACGACCUACGGGUGAAAGCAGGGGAUCUUCGGACCUUGCGCGACUGAAUGAGCCGAUGUCGGAUUAGCUAGUUGGCGGGGUAAAGGCCCACCAAGGCGACGAUCCGUAGCUGGUCUGAGAGGAUGAUCAGCCACACUGGAACUGAGACACGGUCCAGACUCCUACGGGAGGCAGCAGUGGGGAAUAUUGGACAAUGGGCGCAAGCCUGAUCCAGCCAUACCGCGUGGGUGAAGAAGGCCUUCGGGUUGUAAAGCCCUUUUGUUGGGAAAGAAAAGCAGCAGGUUAAUACCCCGCUGUUCUGACGGUACCCAAAGAAUAAGCACCGGCUAACUUCGUG
This 492-nucleotide ribosomal RNA is filed under the name uncultured bacterium. Its description in RNAcentral is "partial 16S ribosomal RNA". It matches the Rfam family "Bacterial small subunit ribosomal RNA", at positions 29 to 507 of the family's 1533-position model. The record is from RNAcentral.